RNAcentral lists this ribosomal RNA (2923 nucleotides) under Klebsiella pneumoniae. RNAcentral's name for it is "23S ribosomal RNA". It matches the Rfam family "Bacterial large subunit ribosomal RNA". The record is from RNAcentral. Lineage: Bacteria; Pseudomonadati; Pseudomonadota; Gammaproteobacteria; Enterobacterales; Enterobacteriaceae.
GGGUUGUGAGGUUAAGCGACUAAGCGUACACGGUGGAUGCCCUGGCAGUCAGAGGCGAUGAAGGACGUGCUAAUCUGCGAAAAGCGUCGGUAAGGUGAUAUGAACCGUUAUAACCGGCGAUGUCCGAAUGGGGAAACCCAGUGCAAUUCGUUGCACUAUCGUUAACUGAAUACAUAGGUUAACGAGGCGAACCGGGGGAACUGAAACAUCUAAGUACCCCGAGGAAAAGAAAUCAACCGAGAUUCCCCCAGUAGCGGCGAGCGAACGGGGAGCAGCCCAGAGUCUGAAUCAGCUUGUGUGUUAGUGGAACGGUCUGGAAAGUCCGACGGUACAGGGUGAUAGUCCCGUACACCAAAAUGCACAGGCUGUGAACUCGAAGAGUAGGGCGGGACACGUGGUAUCCUGUCUGAAUAUGGGGGGACCAUCCUCCAAGGCUAAAUACUCCUGACUGACCGAUAGUGAACCAGUACCGUGAGGGAAAGGCGAAAAGAACCCCGGCGAGGGGAGUGAAAAAGAACCUGAAACCGUGUACGUACAAGCAGUGGGAGCACCUUCGGGUGUGACUGCGUACCUUUUGUAUAAUGGGUCAGCGACUUAUAUUCUGUAGCAAGGUUAACCGUAUAGGGGAGCCGCAGGGAAACCGAGUCUUAACUGGGCGUUAAGUUGCAGGGUAUAGACCCGAAACCCGGUGAUCUAGCCAUGGGCAGGUUGAAGGUUGGGUAACACUAACUGGAGGACCGAACCGACUAAUGUUGAAAAAUUAGCGGAUGACUUGUGGCUGGGGGUGAAAGGCCAAUCAAACCGGGAGAUAGCUGGUUCUCCCCGAAAGCUAUUUAGGUAGCGCCUCGUGAACUCAUCUUCGGGGGUAGAGCACUGUUUCGGCUAGGGGGUCAUCCCGACUUACCAACCCGAUGCAAACUACGAAUACCGAAGAAUGUUAUCACGGGAGACACACGGCGGGUGCUAACGUCCGUCGUGAAGAGGGAAACAACCCAGACCGCCAGCUAAGGUCCCAAAGUCAUGGUUAAGUGGGAAACGAUGUGGGAAGGCACAGACAGCCAGGAUGUUGGCUUAGAAGCAGCCAUCAUUUAAAGAAAGCGUAAUAGCUCACUGGUCGAGUCGGCCUGCGCGGAAGAUGUAACGGGGCUAAACCAUGCACCGAAGCUGCGGCAGCGACACUAUGUGUUGUUGGGUAGGGGAGCGUUCUGUAAGCCUGCGAAGGUGUGCUGUGAGGCAUGCUGGAGGUAUCAGAAGUGCGAAUGCUGACAUAAGUAACGAUAAAGCGGGUGAAAAGCCCGCUCGCCGGAAGACCAAGGGUUCCUGUCCAACGUUAAUCGGGGCAGGGUGAGUCGACCCCUAAGGCGAGGCCGAAAGGCGUAGUCGAUGGGAAACAGGUUAAUAUUCCUGUACUUGGUGUUACUGCGAAGGGGGGACGGAGAAGGCUAUGUUAGCCGGGCGACGGUUGUCCCGGUUUAAGCAUGUAGGCUGGUUGUCCAGGCAAAUCCGGAUAAUCAAGGCUGAGGUGUGAUGACGAGGCACUACGGUGCUGAAGUAACAAAUGCCCUGCUUCCAGGAAAAGCCUCUAAGCAUCAGGUAACAUUAAAUCGUACCCCAAACCGACACAGGUGGUCAGGUAGAGAAUACCAAGGCGCUUGAGAGAACUCGGGUGAAGGAACUAGGCAAAAUGGUGCCGUAACUUCGGGAGAAGGCACGCUGAUAUGUAGGUGAAGCCCCUGCGGGUGGAGCUGAAAUCAGUCGAAGAUACCAGCUGGCUGCAACUGUUUAUUAAAAACACAGCACUGUGCAAACACGAAAGUGGACGUAUACGGUGUGACGCCUGCCCGGUGCCGGAAGGUUAAUUGAUGGGGUUAUCCGUAAGGAGAAGCUCUUGAUCGAAGCCCCGGUAAACGGCGGCCGUAACUAUAACGGUCCUAAGGUAGCGAAAUUCCUUGUCGGGUAAGUUCCGACCUGCACGAAUGGCGUAAUGAUGGCCAGGCUGUCUCCACCCGAGACUCAGUGAAAUUGAACUCGCUGUGAAGAUGCAGUGUACCCGCGGCAAGACGGAAAGACCCCGUGAACCUUUACUAUAGCUUGACACUGAACAUUGAGCCUUGAUGUGUAGGAUAGGUGGGAGGCUUUGAAGCGUGGACGCCAGUCUGCGUGGAGCCAACCUUGAAAUACCACCCUUUAAUGUUUGAUGUUCUAACGUUGGCCCCUUACCGGGGUUGCGGACAGUGUCUGGUGGGUAGUUUGACUGGGGCGGUCUCCUCCCAAAGCGUAACGGAGGAGCACGAAGGUUAGCUAAUCCUGGUCGGACAUCAGGAGGUUAGUGCAAUGGCAUAAGCUAGCUUGACUGCGAGCGUGACGGCGCGAGCAGGUGCGAAAGCAGGUCAUAGUGAUCCGGUGGUUCUGAAUGGAAGGGCCAUCGCUCAACGGAUAAAAGGUACUCCGGGGAUAACAGGCUGAUACCGCCCAAGAGUUCAUAUCGACGGCGGUGUUUGGCACCUCGAUGUCGGCUCAUCACAUCCUGGGGCUGAAGUAGGUCCCAAGGGUAUGGCUGUUCGCCAUUUAAAGUGGUACGCGAGCUGGGUUUAGAACGUCGUGAGACAGUUCGGUCCCUAUCUGCCGUGGGCGCUGGAGAAUUGAGGGGGGCUGCUCCUAGUACGAGAGGACCGGAGUGGACGCAUCACUGGUGUUCGGGUUGUCAUGCCAAUGGCACUGCCCGGUAGCUAAAUGCGGAAGAGAUAAGUGCUGAAAGCAUCUAAGCACGAAACUUGCCCCGAGAUGAGUUCUCCCUGAGACUUUAAGUCUCCUGAAGGAACGUUAAAGACGAUGACGUUGAUAGGCCGGGUGUGUAAGCGCAGCGAUGCGUUGAGCUAACCGGUACUAAUGAACCGUGAGGCUUAACCUUACAACGCCGAAG